GACGAACGCUGGCGGCGUGCUUAACACAUGCAAGUCGAACGGAAAGGCCCGGCGCUUGUUGGUUGCUCGUUUGCCGAACGGGUGAGUGACACGUGUGUAUCCUGUCCUUGUCUUUGGGGUAAAUUCUCGGAACAGGGGCGCUUAUCCGGUAGAAUCUCCUGAUGCGUGGUGGGGGAUAGAGAGAGUCGGCGGUUGGGGAUGGACUAGAGGCUUAUCAGCUUGAUUGUGGGGUAGUGGAUUACCAAGGCUUUGACGGCUAGCCGGCGUGAGAGGGUGAACGGCCACAUUGGGACUGCGAUACGGCCCAGACUCCUACGGGAGGCAGCAGUGGAGAAUAUGGCACAAUGGGCGGAAGCCUGAUGCAGCAACGUCGCGUGCGGGAUGACGGCCUUCGGGUUGUAAACCGAUUUCGCAUGUGACGAAGCGUGAGUGACGGUAAUGGGUAAAGAAGCACCGGCUAACUACGUG
Molecule: ribosomal RNA, 468 nt
Filed under: uncultured bacterium
Lineage: Bacteria
Description: partial 16S ribosomal RNA
Rfam family: Bacterial small subunit ribosomal RNA
Source: RNAcentral